Molecule: ribosomal RNA, 465 nt
Filed under: uncultured Klebsiella sp.
Lineage: Bacteria; Pseudomonadati; Pseudomonadota; Gammaproteobacteria; Enterobacterales; Enterobacteriaceae
Description: bacterial SSU rRNA
Rfam family: Bacterial small subunit ribosomal RNA
Source: RNAcentral
CCUACGGGUGGCAGCAGUGGGGAAUAUUGCACAAUGGGCGCAAGCCUGAUGCAGCCAUGCCGCGUGUGUGAAGAAGGCCUUCGGGUUGUAAAGCACUUUCAGCGGGGAGGAAGGCGUUAAGGUUAAUAACCUUGGCGAUUGACGUUACCCGCAGAAGAAGCACCGGCUAACUCCGUGCCAGCAGCCGCGGUAAUACGGAGGGUGCAAGCGUUAAUCGGAAUUACUGGGCGUAAAGCGCACGCAGGCGGUCUGUCAAGUCGGAUGUGAAAUCCCCGGGCUCAACCUGGGAACUGCAUUCGAAACUGGCAGGCUAGAGUCGUGUAGAGGGGGGUAGAAUUCCAGGUGUAGCGGUGAAAUGCGUAGAGAUCUGGAGGAAUACCGGUGGCGAAGGCGGCCCCCUGGACAAAGACUGACGCUCAGGUGCGAAAGCGUGGGGAGCAAACAGGAUUAGAUACCCUAGUAGUC